RNAcentral lists this long non-coding RNA (696 nucleotides) under Monodelphis domestica (gray short-tailed opossum). RNAcentral describes it as "lncRNA (ENSMODG00000038133.1)". Lineage: Eukaryota; Metazoa; Chordata; Mammalia; Didelphimorphia; Didelphidae. The record is from RNAcentral.
GCAUGCCCUGGCUGGAGGGCGAGAUCGGUGCGCGGUCCGGGGGAGCUUUAUGUAACACGUUGUGCUUUUGUCCCGGGCCAAGAACCAGCCGCCCUUGGUUUUCUCCCCGUAAAUUUUUCAGUCUCCCUUGUUUUGAAAGAAUACCAGUGGCCUGAACCCCCUUUCCCAGGUCUCCCGCCUCCCUCUACUUUUUUUUUUUUAAUGCCCGUCCUCCGGCCCCGAGGCAUUAGGUGGCUCCGGGCUGUCUAUGGGGGAGGGGAAGACGGAGAAGGGGAGGGCGGAUGGAGCAGCUUCUCUUCCCUUGUUUACAUGCUUAUGCCCAGCUGUCUCCUCUGGUCUGAAAUGAGCUCCUUUUCCAGACCUGCUUCAUGGAAUCUCUAGUUCCCUCCAUAGUAGUUUGGAGCUCAACUCCAGGACCACCUCCAAAAUGAGGCCUUUUCUCAUAGUACCUCCUUAAUUACCUUAUAUUUAUUAUGUAUAUAUUGUGGAGCUCUUAGAGUUUGGAUGAACAGACAUGAAGAAGCCAAAGUCAUCUUCUGCAUCCUGGGUCAUCCUAAAAUAUCAGAAAACAGCUGUCAAAAAUUGUUUUCACAUAUACUUUUUUUAAAAAAAAAGAAAGAAAGGUAGGAAGGAAACAAAAAAGAAAGAAACAGAGCUCUGAAUAAAGGGAACCAGUGAAGGUCCUGAUGAAGAAAU